UACGGAGAGUGCAAGCGUUGUUCGGAUUUACUGGGUGUAAAGGACCUGUAGGCGUCCAGAUCAAUCAGACGUGUAAUCCCCCGGCUUACCCGGGGAACGGCAUCUGAUAUUGUCUGGAUCGAGGAUGGGAUAGGAGAGCGGAACUGUAGGUGUAGCGGUGAAAUGUGUAGAUAUCUACAGGAACACCAGAGGCGCAGGCGGCUCUCUGGCCCAUAUCUGACGCUGAGGGGUGAAAGCUAGGGGAG
Molecule: ribosomal RNA, 245 nt
Filed under: uncultured bacterium
Lineage: Bacteria
Description: partial 16S ribosomal RNA
Rfam family: Bacterial small subunit ribosomal RNA
Source: RNAcentral